GGCGGCGGCGGGGUGCUGCUGUCCGACGUCAGGAGGGAGAUCUACGACCGCCUGCGGGCCGUCGGCAACCAGGAGGCGCUCGCCGACCCCUUCUUCAACCGCGUGCUCGAGGACAACUACCAACGCCUCCCGCCAAGCCACUACAUCGACCUCGACGUGAGCAUGGAAGCCAGGGAUCCCCCACAAUUACCGUUUUGAUUUGGAGCCAGAGGUUUGUCCUGCUGAAGGAAUCGGACGUGGAAGACAGGACGGUUGUCGGGGUCGGCGCACUCGGCGAGGAUCCAGCGAUGGAGCAGCACGUCCUCCCGCCUUGUUCACCAGCGUUCCUGCGUGGCAUAGUUCUGUAAGAAUUGUCAAAAGCUCAAAAGCGAAUGUUAGAAGCCUGGAGAAUGAGAAGACUGAUGGAACGGGAGCUUGACAGAAGGUCAAAUGAUUGGUCAGCCAGGCUGGCAAGAUUUCAAGCCGAAGAACAGCGACUACGGGAUAGAGUAAUGGAGCUAGCAGAGCAGAAUGUGUCAUUUCAGAGAGAAGUUACUUUGUUUGAAUCGAAACGAGUUGAGGCUUCUAACAAGAUUAGAAGUUUGGAACUGCAAAACAAACAACUGAAUGAUGAGAUGGAGAAAGUUAAAGGUGAGCACACCAAAAGCAGUGAUAUGGAUAUAUCCUCAGUAGAGUUGCAUGAUAGCUUUACAAAAGCUGCAGAAGAAAGGGACCAAAUCCAAGAAUGCUUAAAAUCCAAAGAAGAUAACAGUAGGGCACUGCACAAGGUGAUUGCAAGGUUACAAGGGGCAUCUAAUGAGUAGGAAAAAACAAUAAAUGGGCUCAGGCAAGGAUUUAGUGCUGAAUUAGAAAAUAGAUCUGUUGGAAGUAGCGAAAGCAUCACCAGGAUGCAAAUGGAACUUUUGGGACUUACUGGAGUUGAGCAAAAGCUGAGAAAAGAAAUUCAGUCCUGUAACCUUGAAGUAGAGUCUCUUCAGCAAGAGAACAUAGGGAUUUUAAACCGUCUACAAAGCAGUGGGAAUGGAUUAAGUUUAUCCUCACAUCAUCUUGUCCUGGAACUUCACGCUAGAGUGGACAACUUGCAGAUGCAAGGCUUAUCGUUACUUGAAGAUACUAGCUGUCUUUGUGGCAAGUUGUUGGGCGUCAUGAAAUCCAAGAGUGAGACAAUUGGCAGUGUUGAUGCACUAGCAGACAUUGAAUACACUCUGAAGUACCAGAACCUAAGACAAGGAAUGGAUUAUUUAGCCCUUAGUCUGAGAAAAGUUAAAUCUGUGUUGGUUGAAAAACACAAUAAAGAAGACAACAUAGUGGGUGUUUCUGUGGGACAUGAUACAUUAUAUAUUAUUGUUGUUCUUGAGUAAAGUGCAGGAAGGCAUGAAUUCAACGGCGAAAACUUCUAUCAGGAUGGGGUCCCUCUAGGCGGGAAGGCAUGGACCCAACAGCAAGGACAUCGAUUAUGAUGGAUUCAACCGGACUGCUCGAUUACUGAAUGACAUAAUAUGGUUAUGAUGUGGGUUCAUGGAGGUACUCUAGCCCCAACAAAACUAUGACUCAUCCAACCUUUUCGGGCAGGUUCACUAUUCUUCAAUCGUAGUGUUGCAUAUUCCUAUUUGAAUGAUAGGUGGUGCAUAGAAUUAAUGAUUCAGAAAAAUUAUUUUUUCUUUGUUACGAACAAGUCUGCAACUCUCCCAGAUAGAAGAUUAUCACUAAAAGAGAACAACUAAUUAGUCUUGGUAGAUGAAGUCAGAUUGUGUACUGACAUUGUGGUAAUCUCUGUAUCCUAUUUCUUCUUGUUAUUUGUGUUAUUUUGCUUACACAAAAUGGUCAUGUUUAUCUCAAAUUUCUUUUGUCAAUUGCCUCCAAAUUAAAAAAUCAGGGUAAUAUAUAGAAUGUGUAUGUUCCAUUACCCACAACUGUACCAUUAUCUUCUAUUGAAUAAUUGGAUUAAUAAACUUUUCAUAA
Hordeum vulgare subsp. vulgare (domesticated barley) is the source of this 1962-nucleotide RNA transcript. It is a transcript of the gene named tropomyosin-1-like, with no coding region annotated. The transcript has 5 exons. Lineage: Eukaryota; Viridiplantae; Streptophyta; Magnoliopsida; Poales; Poaceae. The record is from RefSeq and is a predicted model, not a curated record.